GGAGGGUGCGAGCGUUGUCCGGAAUCACUGGGCGUAAAGGGCGCGUAGGCGGCCCGAUAAGUAGGGGGUGAAAUCCUGCGGCUUAACCGCAGGGCUGCCUUCUAAACUGUCAGGCUAGAGCACGGUAGAGGCAGAUGGAAUUCCCGGUGUAGCGGUGGAAUGCGUAGAGAUCGGGAAGAACAUCAGUGGCGAAGGCGGUCUGCUGGGCCGUUGCUGACGCUGAGGCGCGACAGCGUGGGGAGCAAACAGGAUUAGAUACCCUGGUAGUCCACGCCGUAAACGAUGGGCACUAGGCGUCGGGGGGAGCGACCCCCCCGGUGCCGUCGCUAACGCAGUAAGUGCCCCGCCUGGGGAGUACGGCCGCAAGGCUG
Molecule: ribosomal RNA, 371 nt
Filed under: uncultured bacterium
Lineage: Bacteria
Description: bacterial SSU rRNA
Rfam family: Bacterial small subunit ribosomal RNA
Source: RNAcentral